Bubalus bubalis (water buffalo) is the source of this 1798-nucleotide long non-coding RNA. RefSeq lists it as uncharacterized. Lineage: Eukaryota; Metazoa; Chordata; Mammalia; Artiodactyla; Bovidae. The record is from RefSeq and is a predicted model, not a curated record. The transcript is spliced from 3 exons.
UGGGGGCCAAGCUCUCGCUGCCGGAAGUCACCCAGGGAGGAAACCACAGGGUCCGCCCCCUUCGGAAGGGAAAAUACCCGUGCCCGAAGGCCCACCCCAGCCGGCAGCGGACCCCAAAUCAUGUUGUGUGUGUGUACAAAGACUGAGGACCAGAGAAGUGAGGUGGCCUCUCUAAGGGCUCAGAGGCAAGAAGCGUUGAAGCCAAGAAGCAGGGCAGGAGGAGGCUUCCGCAGACUGUGGCCAACGGGGAACCCAGCCGCGCCUCUGCCCGCAGCCCAGGGAGCUGUCCAAAGGCUGAAAUGCAAGGGCCCUCGGAGUAGUCCAGAAGCCCUCCAGUAGUAACCCUGCUGCUGUCUCCAGGAAAGCCCGGCCUGCUCACCAUGGAUGGCCUCCAGGCACCCGCGGGACUUCACUUCUCCUAAUGAGAGCACUGUGUGCCUGCCACACCAGAGAAAGCCAAGUCUGUUCCCACUUGGGGCCUCUGACCUUGCCGACCCCUCCCCUAGGACGCUGUUCCCCAUCUCUUCCCUUUCCUCUGACCCUUCAGGACUUAGCUCAAAGGCCGCCUCCUCCCAGAAGCCCUCCCUCGGCCACUCUCCACUCCAGCUAUUGCUCAGUUGCUAAGUCGUGUCCGACUCUGCGACCCCAUGGACUGCAGCACGCCAGGCUUCCCUGUCCGUCACUGUCGGCCGGCGUCUGCUCGGGCUCACACCCCUCGAGCCAGUGGCCAGUGUUGUUCUCUUUGUAGUGCUGUCUGCAGCUCAGGCGCUGUCACCUUGCCUUACUGUUUCCCCCUCUGAAAUGUAAGCUCUCUGAAAGCAGGUGGUUUUUUUGGUCUUGUUUUCUGCGGUAUUCCUUUCUGAAAGGGACACACCACGCGCUUAGAUGCUAUUUGUUGAAUGAAUGGAUUCUUCCAGGCUCCCACAGCCCACAGAAUGAAAUCCAGGGCUGGCUUUCCAAGCUCAAGUGGACAUGGGCCUCUGCCAAUCUCCAUGGGCAAAUCGCCUUCAGAGCUCACCUUCUUCCUCUGGGUUCGGCAACUUGGGGUUCCCUAUGUACCCAUCCUCCGAGCUUCCUGUGUUCAUUGGGCAAAUUCUACUGGCCUCUACAGCCUCAGCUCAAAUCUCUCCUCUCUGGAAGCUGUCUCUGACUCCAUGGGAGGCCUACUUAAUAGUGAUGGCCUCAGUCUUCCCACAGUUCAGGCAUCUUGGGCUUAGCACUAAUCGUACUGCAUUGAAAUUACUUCCCAAUGAGGCUGCCCUCACAGGCAGGGCUGGAGGGCAGGGUGGGGUUUCAUUCAUUUUUGUAGAAUGGAGUCCAGCACUGGUCUGCAGAUAAGCCCCGUUGAAUGAGGACACCUGCCCCGCAGACUGACACUUUGUAGAGCUGGAUGUAAGCACUAGCGCUUCCCAGGUGGAGCUAGUGGUAAAGAGCCCAGCUGCCAGUGCAGGAGACAUAGAGAUGCGGGUUAGGAAAUGGCAGCCCACUCCAGCAUUCUUGCCUGGAGAACCUCAGGGACAGAGGAGCCUGGCGGGUUACAGUCCACAGGGUUGCAAAGAGUUGGACACGACAAGCAACUUAGCAUGGAAGCACUGAUCUGGGAGUCGAACAUUUGAAAGCCUGGAAACUGGUCUUUCCAUUCACUUGCUGUAUGACCCUGGGCAGGUGAUUUCACCUCUCUGAGCCUCUGAGGAUUCUCAUCUUUGAAAAGGGGGCAGUAACAUGGGCUGAUCAGUAGUAAAGAAUUCACCUAUCAAAGCAGGAGAUGCAUGAGACCCAAGUUCGGAUCCCUGGGUCA